Molecule: ribosomal RNA, 460 nt
Filed under: uncultured bacterium
Lineage: Bacteria
Description: SSU rRNA
Rfam family: Bacterial small subunit ribosomal RNA
Source: RNAcentral
AGAAUCAACGCUGGCGGCGUGCCUAACACAUGCAAGUCGAACGAGAAAGUGGAGCAAUCCAUUAGUAAAGUGGCGCACGGGUGAGUAACACGUGACUAACCUACCCUUGAGUGGGGGAUAACCUAGGGAAACCUGGGCUAAUACCGCAUAAUACCUUCGGGUCAAAGGAGCAAUUCGCUUAAGGAGGGGGUCGCGGCCGAUUAGUUAGUUGGCGGGGUAAUGGCCCACCAAGACGAUGAUCGGUAUCCGGCCUGAGAGGGCGGCACGGACACACUGGAACUGAAACACGGUCCAGACUCCUACGGGAGGCAGCAGUGGGGAAUUUUGCGCAAUGGGGGAAACCCUGACGCAGCAACGCCGCGUGGAGGAUGAAGCCCCUUGGGGCGUAAACUCCUUUCGAUCGGGACGAUUAUGACGGUACCGGAAGAAGAAGCCCGGCUAACUUCGUGCCAGCAGCCGC